Dendroctonus ponderosae (mountain pine beetle) is the source of this 1780-nucleotide long non-coding RNA. RefSeq lists it as uncharacterized. Lineage: Eukaryota; Metazoa; Arthropoda; Insecta; Coleoptera; Curculionidae. The record is from RefSeq and is a predicted model, not a curated record. The transcript has 2 exons.
CCGUCUACUAUUCAACAUCUAAAGCUGCACUUAACCCAUUAGCGCCCAUCGAUCUAUUUAUAGAUCAGAACAAAAACCCAAUGUUUACUUCGCCGGAUAAGUACCAACAGUCAUUUUAUUCACCACUUAUGUUUGUUUACACCCUAACACGCAUAGAUUUUAUGUUAGUUGAACUUCGUCAACAAACGGGCUCGAACGGUUCGAUUUCUUAAAUAUCAAUAUUUUUACGGCGGUGUCAUCUCAGAUAUUUGUUAGUGUUUCUCAAAAGCUUCUUUAGGUAAGUCAGUUAUAUUUUUUAUAUAAGUUUAGAAGUGAUGUACGAAACUAACUAAAAAUCCUGAAAAAAAAUUUACACCUGUCAAUUUUUUACCGUUAUUUACUUUUUUCUAGAUUUGAAUAAUGAGUAAAACCGUUUUCAAAACUCUGGAAGAAGCUGCUGAAUAUUUAUAUUCCGAACAAAUAGAAGCAGCCUCCGGAAGUAUAUGAAUUAACCGAUGAAGAAAUUGUCAAUAAUGGAGAUACAGGAAUUCCUGAUGUAUCGGAUUUUGCCGGGUAUGUUGAAAUUCAAAGAAACGAAGAUGGAGAUAAAAGUGAAGAUGAAGACUACUUGCCAUUAUCAUUUCUAUUACCACAAAAAAGAUCAAAGAUGGGUAAACCAGGCAAACUUGUCACCAGCUGGGCCGAAAUUGAUCCCGUAUAUGACACUUUUGAACCGGAGCAAGACUAUAUAGAAAAAGAAAAUGAACUCAAAACCACAUUGAAUCAACUUUCUGCCGUGAAUAUAUUUGACACAACACUUCUUUGAUACCAAAACAUUUGAUAUUAUUACUCAAGAAACAGUAAGAUAUGCAGUUACACAAAAAAAUAAGCACGGAUUUAUCAUAACCCCAGAUGAUAUAAAGAUUUUUAUUGGUUUUCUUAUAUUCAGUGGAUACCAUACCUUGCCCUCGUAGAGAGACUAUUGGUCUGAUGAUGAUGAUUUAGGACAAGCGAUUGUAAAGAAUGCUAUGAGCAGAAGCAGUUUCAAUAGGUUCUAAUUUUGAUGCAAUCAAGCCAGUGGCCACAGUAUCCCGGUUGAACCGGGCUCAAAAAGCUCGUUUUUUAGUAAAUCAGCCAAAAGUUAUUUAUAACUAUAAUCGAUUUAUGGGAGGAGUGGACCACCAUGACUGGCUUCUAGAAAAGCAUUCGAUUGCUAUAAGAGGAAAGAAGUGAAAAGUGCAUGGAAAACAUUAUAUUACAAUAAAGGAUUUUCGACGUCAAAUUGCAGUCAGUUACCUCAAAAUUGGACAUGGACGAAGUGUUAUGAGAAGCAGACCUUUUACUUUUCCAACAACUUCAACAGCACAUGUACCUGAUAAUGUAAGGUUGAAUGAAAAAUGGCAUUUGCUAGAGGAAAGAGGUGAUCAGCGACGUUGCCAGUAUCCGGGCUGUAAGAACCGUCUGCUUACCUUCUGUAAAAAGUGUGACGUUACACUAUGUGUAACUUGCUUUGCCAAGUUUCAUCGCAAAAUUUGAAUAAAAUUGUUAAAUAAUUUAGAAUAAAGCCUUUUGUAAGUUUACGACACAUAAUUGUAUUUUUCUCCCAGCGAUCUAUUUAUAGAUCAACAACAUAUAGAUAUGAAAACAAAUCAAAAAUUAAAAAAACGGGUAUAUAAGUUGAGUGUCAUAGAUUUUUCAUGAUACAUAAAUUGAGGUUUUCUGCAAAUUUUCCUUAAAAAAUUAAUUUGGGCGUUACUGGGUUAAUUGGUAUCCGAUAUGUUAUUGUUUUUUUUCUGUUCAG